GGACCCGCACAAGCGGUGGAUUAUGUGGAUUAAUUCGAUGCAACGCGAAAAACCUUACCUACCCUUGACAUGUCCUGGAGGCCUGAGAGAUCGGGCUGUGCCCGAAAGGGAACGGGAACACAGGUGCUGCAUGGCUGUCGUCAGCUCGUGUCGUGAGAUGUUGGGUUAAGUCCCGCAACGAGCGCAACCCUUGCCAUUAGUUGCCACCGGAAACGGGGCACUCUAAUGGGACUGCCGGUGACAAACCGGAGGAAGGUGGGGAUGACGUCAAGUCCUCAUGGCCCUUAUGGGUAGGGCUUCACACGUAAUACAAUGGCGCGUACAGAGGGCUGCCAAGGGGUGACCUGGAGCCAAUCCCUGCAAAGCGCGUCGUAGUCCGGAUUGCAGUCUGCAACUCGACUGCAUGAAGUCGGAAUCGCUAGUAAUCGCGGAUCAGCAUGUCGCGGUGAAUACGUUCCCGGGUCUU
RNAcentral lists this ribosomal RNA (466 nucleotides) under uncultured bacterium. RNAcentral's name for it is "bacterial SSU rRNA". It matches the Rfam family "Bacterial small subunit ribosomal RNA", at positions 917 to 1382 of the family's 1533-position model. The record is from RNAcentral.